RNAcentral lists this ribosomal RNA (253 nucleotides) under uncultured bacterium. Its description in RNAcentral is "partial 16S ribosomal RNA". It matches the Rfam family "Bacterial small subunit ribosomal RNA", at positions 524 to 776 of the family's 1533-position model. The record is from RNAcentral.
UACGUAGGGUGCGAGCGUUGUCCGGAAUUAUUGGGCGUAAAGGGCUCGUAGGCGGUUUGUCGCGUCGGGAGUGAAAUCCACUGGCUUAACUGGUGGCUUGCUUUCGAUACGGGCAGACUGGAGGUAUGCAGGGGAGAACGGAAUUCCUGGUGUAGCGGUGAAAUGCGUAGAUAUCAGGAGGAACACCGAUGGCGAAGGCGGCAUCCUGGACCGACACUGACGCUGAGGAGCGAAAGCCAGGGGAGCAAACGGG